AGAAUCAACGCUGGCGGCGUGCCUAACACAUGCAAGUCGAACGAGAAAGUGGAGCAAUCCAUGAGUAAAGUGGCGCACGGGUGAGUAACACGUGACUAACCUACCCUUGAGUGGGGGAUAACCUAGGGAAACCUGGGCUAAUACCGCAUAAUACCUUCGGGUCAAAGGAGCAAUUCGCUUAAGGAGGGGUACGCGGCCGAUUAGUUAGUUGGCGGGGUAAUGGCCCACCAAGACUGUGAUCGGUA
Molecule: ribosomal RNA, 245 nt
Filed under: uncultured bacterium
Lineage: Bacteria
Description: partial small subunit ribosomal RNA
Rfam family: Bacterial small subunit ribosomal RNA
Source: RNAcentral